CUGCAGUCGAGGGGCAGCACAGGUAGCAAUACUGGGUGGCGACCGGCAAACGGGUGCGGAACACGUACGUAACCUUCCUUUAAGUGGGAGAUAGCCCGAAGAAAUUCGGAUUAAUACCCCAUAAGAUUGUGGAAUGGCAUCAUUCAGCAAUUAAAGAAUUUCGCUUAAAGAUGGGCGUGCGGCUGAUUAGGUAGUUGGUGAGGUAACGGCUCACCAAGCCAACGAUCAGUAACUGGCGUGAGAGCGCGACCAGUCACACGGGCACUGAGACACGGGCCCGACUCCUACGGGAGGCAGCAGUAAGGAAUAUUGGUCAAUGGACGCAAGUCUGAACCAGCCAUGCCGCGUGAAGGAUGAAGGUCCUCUGGAUUGUAAACUUCUUUUAUAUGGGAAGAAACCAUCUUUUUCUAAGGGUGUUGACGGUACCAUAGGAAUAAGCACCGGCUAACUCCGUGCCAGCAGCCGCGGUAAUACGGAGGGUGCAAGCGUUAUCCGGAUUCACUGGGUUUAAAGGGUGCGUAGGCGGAUUAGUAAGUCCGUGGUGAAAUCUCCGAGCUUAACUCGGAAACUGCCGUGGAUACUAUUAAUCUUGAAUACUGUGGAGGUUAGCGGAAUAUGUCAUGUAGCGGUGAAAUGCAUAGAUAUGACAUAGAACACCAAUUGCGAAGGCAGCUGGCUACACAGAGAUUGACGCUGAGGCACGAAAGCGUGGGGAUCAAACAGGAUUAGAUACCCUGGUAGUCCACGCCCUAAACGAUGAUUACUCGACAUUUGCGAUAUACAGUAAGUGUCUGAGCGAAAGCAUUAAGUAAUCCACCUGGGAAGUACGACCGCAAGGUUGAAACUCAAA
Molecule: ribosomal RNA, 850 nt
Filed under: uncultured bacterium
Lineage: Bacteria
Description: bacterial SSU rRNA
Rfam family: Bacterial small subunit ribosomal RNA
Source: RNAcentral